RNAcentral lists this long non-coding RNA (539 nucleotides) under Brachypodium distachyon (stiff brome). RNAcentral describes it as "long non-coding RNA (BDIS_LNC000591)". Lineage: Eukaryota; Viridiplantae; Streptophyta; Magnoliopsida; Poales; Poaceae. The record is from RNAcentral.
UUGACACCGUCGAUCUUCAAAUCUCCCCAUGGAGUUCUCGGCUUUGGCAAAAGGGUGGUUCUGAACGGUACGGCUUGAGCCGCUGAAGUGGAGAGAUUUCAACAGACACUUCAGGUCUUUAGUGUUCUGUUCUGUUCAGUUCCGUUGCCACAAUGCGACCUCGCCAAGGGCGGCCUAGACUACGUGCCUCUCCGGAUUUCGAGUGGGCCUUGGUCAUACGUGCAUGACGAUCCAAGAUGGUACGUAAAUGCUAGCUUGGGGAUUUGAUUAGCUUGUGAUGGGGCACCUUGAAUAAGUAUACGUCUGUCUGGGCAUUGGCGAGCAAGGAUGAGUAGAUAGACGGGGUGAAGCCCCGGAUCUUAGCGGGCGUGUGCGUUUUGUAAUGAUCUACAUACAACUGUGGAAAUAAAUACAUUACAAGGAGAGAUUCAAUUUUUUUUACAUAUCAACCAUGUCCCGUAUGUCUCGAACAUUUUUCUUAGCUGUUGUAAUAUGCACACAUGUGGAGGCGGUUUCCGAGCAGAUUGGAAUUUACUGAU